UAAGACGUAGGGCGCGAGCGUUGUCCGGAUUUAUUGGGCGUAAAGAGCUCGUAGGCGGCUUGUCGCGUCGACUGUGAAAACCCGCGGCUCAACCGCGGGCCUGCAGCCGAUACGGGCAGGCUAGAGUUCGGUAGGGGAGACUGGAAUUCCUGGUGUAGCGGUGAAAUGCGCAGAUAUCAGGAGGAACA
RNAcentral lists this ribosomal RNA (188 nucleotides) under uncultured bacterium. RNAcentral describes it as "partial 16S ribosomal RNA". It matches the Rfam family "Bacterial small subunit ribosomal RNA", at positions 521 to 708 of the family's 1533-position model. The record is from RNAcentral.